This is a long non-coding RNA of Rhagoletis zephyria (snowberry fruit fly), 149 nucleotides long. RefSeq lists it as uncharacterized. The record is from RefSeq and is a predicted model, not a curated record. NCBI's taxonomy places the organism in Eukaryota, Metazoa, Arthropoda, Insecta, Diptera, Tephritidae.
CAGCCUGGCGUGCGGGUCCUCAGUGCAGCUGACGGUUCUCUUCGGGGUAGUAUCCUGGUUUUCUACUACUUCCAUCAUCAUCCUUGUUGGAAAUGUCGUUGGUCUGGGAUUGCUUGCAUAACGACAUGCUGCGUAUCGUUCGAUUAAGA